ACUCCUACGGGAGGCAGCAGUCGAGAAUUUUUCUCAAUGGGGGAAACCCUGAAGGAGCGACGCCGCGUGGAGGAUGAAGGUCUUCGGGUUGUAAACUCCUGUCAUUUGGGAACAAGUGCCGGUACUUAACUGCUACCGGCUUGAUAGUACCAGAAGAGGAAGGGACGGCUAACUCUGUGCCAGCAGCCGCGGUAAUACAGAGGUCUCAAGCGUUGUUCGGAUUCAUUGGGCGUAAAGGGUGUGUAGGUGGCGCCGUAAGUCGGGUGUGAAAUUUCGGAGCUUAACUCCGAAACUGCAUUCGAUACUGCGGUGCUUGAGGACUGGAGAGGAGACUGGAAUUCAUGGUGUAGCGGUGAAAUGCGUAGAGAUC
Molecule: ribosomal RNA, 370 nt
Filed under: uncultured bacterium
Lineage: Bacteria
Description: bacterial SSU rRNA
Rfam family: Bacterial small subunit ribosomal RNA
Source: RNAcentral